UUACGGUCAUAUCAUGUUGAAACACCAGUUCUCGUAUGAUCACCCAAGUUAAGCAACGUCGUACCUGGUCAGUACUUAGAUGUGUAACAGCUUGGGAAUAUCAGGUGCU
Acanthosepion pharaonis is the source of this 109-nucleotide non-coding RNA. The record is from the annotation of a GenBank genome assembly. Lineage: Eukaryota; Metazoa; Mollusca; Cephalopoda; Sepiida; Sepiidae.